GCAUAUCGUGACCUGGUAGGGCAUCGUCGCCAUCGUCCUCCAGCAGCGAUGAAGCCCUCAGUUUGUCCUUCUUGGAUUGAUCCUGGCAAUGCGCUUAGAUUUCUUGUUAGGGUUGCUAAGUAUGUUGCGAAUCUAGAGUAUGGAAUGCUACCAAUGUCAGAGCAAGACUAUGAUUGGUGGGUUGAUAUUAGCAGUGGGUAUAAUUUGGAUAAAUUUCAUGAUGAAAUGGCUAGCAAGAUAAUCUGGGGGCCAAGCCAAGAAAUUAGAGUUUGGGGUUUGGACACUGAAAUUGGCACUGAAUGUAAGUUGACAACCAAUGAAGAAUUUGGCCAGUGGAUGAAUUCUAUGUUGGAUGAUAAGCUGGUAGAGUUUGGUGUUGAAGUUAUUUAUAAAAAGGGAUAUGAACCUAUUGAAGGCAUUGCAAAUCCAGUUGAUUCAGCUAUUCAAGGUGUCUCUGGUGUGGUAACU
RNAcentral lists this long non-coding RNA (468 nucleotides) under Oryza sativa Indica Group (long-grained rice). RNAcentral's name for it is "lncRNA OsIR64_08g0012340". The record is from RNAcentral. Lineage: Eukaryota; Viridiplantae; Streptophyta; Magnoliopsida; Poales; Poaceae.